This is a long non-coding RNA of Hypanus sabinus (Atlantic stingray), 1018 nucleotides long. RefSeq lists it as uncharacterized. Lineage: Eukaryota; Metazoa; Chordata; Chondrichthyes; Myliobatiformes; Dasyatidae. The transcript has 3 exons. The record is from RefSeq and is a predicted model, not a curated record.
UCGAAAAAAAAAACUUUAAUUCAUUUGAAAAAACAAUAGUAUUGGGCUGUCCUUUACUUAGGAUUGCUUGUUUCCUGUUAUUGAUAAUGACAAAGGCAAAAACAUCUGAGCACACACCAAAACCAACAUGAAACAUUGGGUAGAUUUUCUUCAAGUCUCUUACCAUUGGAAUACCACAAGUCGGCCCUCCUUAUCCGUGAGGGAUUGGUUCCGGGACCCCUCGCAGGUACAAAAAUUCACGGAUGUUCAAGUCCCUUAUUCAACCUGUCUCAAGUUUCUGUUCACGAAAAUAAUCACGAUCGCGAUUGAAAAUAAAGAGGAAAUAAUAAAGCGAUCAGAAAGAGGUGAAACACCAUCGGUCAUUGGAAAAGCAUUAGACUAGUCGGUCAACGAUUGGAACAAUUUUAAUGGAUAAAGUGAGAAAGGUUCUGCCCCGAUGAAAGCUACAAUUAUUACUAAGCAACGCAGUGGUUUAAUUAUUGGGUUUUGGAGUUUGGGGUUUUUGAUCCUCACAUCAACCCGGCACGGCGGAGAGCACACUCAAUAGCGGUCUGUCACUGGAUCGAACUCAGGAAGAAGUUUCUGAGCUCGGCGCUGAAACAUACAUUCUUAAGUGUUUUAUAUGCAUAGAAAGGGCUCACUGAUCAACCGUUUUUCAACAUGCCAAGGACGCAGUCCAGAAGAUGUGUGCACUUUCGGGGUUCUGAGGCUUUGCAGCACUGUGGAUGAGCUGAUUCCAAGCUGGUGUUGCUGAAUGAAGCAUCACAGGAGAAAAUGGAACAUCACAAACAAUGGAUUGAAUCACUCUCUCUCAUUCUUGAUGGUGGGGGAAGAGUUUGCUGCCGACUCUUGAGUUGGAGAACUCGAAAAAAAGUUGGGUGAACAAUUAGUUUUUGUUGUACUGCAGAUCAUGGUCUUUCUUUUGAGGCUUUACUAUUGCAUGCUUGGUGGGUGGUGGGUGCUGAUGCUUUUGUUGAAAUAAGUGGGGGAGGGGGAGGGUUGAUGUUUGUGUGCAGGG